AGGUGUGGUGGCGCAUGCCUGUAAUCCCAGCUACUCAGGAGGCUGAGGCAGGAGAAUCGCUUGAACCCGGGAGGCAGAGGGCACGGUGGCUCAUGCCUGUAAUCCCAGCACUUUGGGAGGCUGAGGCAGGUGGAUCACCUGAGGUCAGGAGUUCAAAACCAGCCUGACCAACAUGGUGAAACCCCCAUCUCUACUAAAAAUACAAAAUUAGCUGGGUGUGGUGGUGCACACCUGUAGUCCCAGCUACUCAGGA
Molecule: long non-coding RNA, 253 nt
Filed under: Pan troglodytes (chimpanzee)
Lineage: Eukaryota; Metazoa; Chordata; Mammalia; Primates; Hominidae
Description: long non-coding RNA NONPTRT000224
Source: RNAcentral